UUCCGGGUUGAUCCUGCCAGAGGUUACUGCUAUCGGGGUUCGAUUAAGCCAUGCAAGUUAAAUGUUUUUCGUAAACAUAGCGAACUGCUCAGUAACACGUGGAUAACUUAACCUUAGGUCCGGCAUAACCCCGGGAAACUGGGGAUAAUUCCGGAUGUAUCAAGGAUGCUGGAAUGCCCUUUGGUUCAAAGCUUUUGUGCCUAAGGAUAGGUCUGCGGUCUAUCAGGUUGUAGUGGGUGUAACGUACCUACUAGCCGACGACGGAUACGGGUUGUGAGAGCAAGAGCCCGGAGAUGGAUUCUGAGACAAGAAUCCAGGCCCUACGGGGUGCAGCAGGCGCGAACACUUUACAAUGCGGGAAACCGCGAUAAGGGAACCCCGAGUGCCAGUACUAAGUGCUGGCUGUCUAGAUGAAUAGAUAUCAUUUAAUAGCAAGGGCCGGGCAAGACCGGUGCCAGCCGCCGCGGUAACACCGGCGGCCCGAGUGGUAACCGAUAUUAUUGGGUCUAAAGGGUCCGUAGCCUGUUUAAUAAGUCCUUUGGGAAAUCUGGCAGCUUAACUGUCAGGCUGCUAAAGGAUACUGUUAAACUUGGGACCGGUAGACGUAGGGGGUACUCCAGGGGUAGGAGUGAAAUCUUGUAAUCCCUGGGGGACCAUCUGUGGCGAAGGCGCCCUACGAGAACGGGUCCGACGGUGAGGGACGAAAGCUAGGGGAGCAAACCGGAUUAGAUACCCGGGUAGUCCUAGCUGUAAACGAUGCUCGCUAGGUGUCAGGCACGGUGCGUCCGUGUCUGGUGCCGCAGGGAAGCCGUUAAGCGAGCCACCUGGGGAGUACGGUCGCAAGGCUGAAACUUAAAGGAAU
RNAcentral lists this ribosomal RNA (862 nucleotides) under uncultured euryarchaeote. Its description in RNAcentral is "bacterial SSU rRNA". It matches the Rfam family "Archaeal small subunit ribosomal RNA", at positions 1 to 865 of the family's 1478-position model. The record is from RNAcentral. Lineage: Archaea; Methanobacteriati; Methanobacteriota.